UUCCAGGUCACAGACUGAACCAAUGGUUGAGCAACAGGUGGGAAGGUGUGGCUAAUCCAGGGAGCUCAGGUGCAAGUAGUGCACAUGAGUGACCAGAAGGGGUGGAGCCUCGCAGUAUCUCUUUGGAUGAAAACUACGCUCCUCUUGAGCUGGUACUGGUUGUUGGAAGGGAGAGUAAUUGCAUCAGAAAUAAAAGAUGAAGACCACCUUGACAACAGCAGCAACACUUAUUAUCAAAUGAAGAUGACAACUGUGAGUCAUUCACCAUUUCCUGGCUUACCAACACUUCUACUCAUAGGACAAUAGUUUAUUCAUUCCUAAGCAGGGAAGGGAGAACAGGGAAAGAGACCAGACACAGAUCCUUACCCUCUCUUGUUUGAAAUCUGCAAAAGCACCAUCUGCGUAUUUUUGCUUGCUUAGAAGCUGCUU
Long non-coding RNA from Lagopus muta (rock ptarmigan), 429 nucleotides. RefSeq lists it as uncharacterized. The record is from RefSeq and is a predicted model, not a curated record. NCBI's taxonomy places the organism in Eukaryota, Metazoa, Chordata, Aves, Galliformes, Phasianidae. The transcript has 3 exons.